Molecule: long non-coding RNA, 2805 nt
Organism: Cyprinus carpio carpio
Lineage: Eukaryota; Metazoa; Chordata; Actinopteri; Cypriniformes; Cyprinidae
Source: Ensembl
CUGUGUCUCAAUUACCUUGUUAACUCAUCCACAUAUUAGCCUGGUUUUUGUCUUUGGUUGCUGGUUUAUUGUUUUCUGUUAUGUGUGUCUGUUACCAUGUUUUUUUGUUUUCUGUUAUGUGUGUCUGUUACUCUGUUUUUCCCUGAUUUGGAUUACGUUGUUUGUUUUUGGACUCUUUAAUAAAUACUGCACCUGGAUCUUCUUGUUUUGGCGCAUUCUGUGACAGAAUAACCCAACCAUUAACAGAUCCAGCAGCAAGGCUGGGCUUCAGAUUGUGGACCAUGGGCAUUCGUAUUCUUCCUUCUGCUUCAAAGGAGCGGGAGGCUUGGCUCUGGAUGUUGGCGGCUCUUCGCCAACAGGGGAUGAAAGUGGGAGGUUUUGCUCAGACCUUCUGGACUUUGGCAGUAGGGCUGGAACUGAGUGAGUCUGAGCUCAGCAAGACUUUUAAUGACUGCCUAGACAAUACCUUCCCUCCUCGGGAGAUUGAGAGGCUUAAGACUGUUGACGUUUGGAAAAUCAUUGAUUAUCUUUGUUACCGCAACUUUGUAAGGACAUGUUGGUCUGAGUCAAUUGCAGUGCUCCUGGAGAUCCCUGAGCCCGCUCCAGUGGAUAGCGAAUCUUCACUGUCUCAGUCUCGCAAGUGAAGGUCGAGAAGGAGGAGGGCAGCAAGGUCCACUAAAGUUCUCCCGGAGCCCACUCAAGUCCUUUAAUCUGCGCCAGAGCCUGCUCCAGUCUAUGAGUCUGACCCAAGUCCGCUGGUCCUGGAGGACACGACUCAGGUGAUCUUGAGUCCAGUGGUCCUGGAGGACCUGACUCUGGUGGUCUCAGAUGUCACCACAGAGCCGCCUAAUUUCACUGCUGCUGCCAUAGUCAAGAAGGCCAUCUUUGCCUUUGGCCUCUGGACUGUUCUGUGUGCAUGGGAGCAUUCAGAACCUGCUCCAGUCCGGGAGUAUUCUGAGUCCACUCCACAACCCGCUCCAGUCUAGGAGCCUUCAGUGUCCACUUAUGAACAAGCUCCAGUACAGGAGUCCUUGGAGCUCACUCCAGCGCCCGCUCAAGUCUAGGAGCUCACUCCAGAGCCAGCUCCAUUCUAUGAAUUAAUUCUAGAGUUUGUUUCAGUCUACAAAUCCACUCCAGAGCUUACUCAAGUUUAUGAGAUUACUCCUUAGCUCAUUCCAGUCCAAGAGUCCACUACUGAGUCUGCUCUAGUUCCUCCCAAGGUGGUGGUUUCUGCUGUGGAGCCUUCUCAAGGCGGUGGCCUCUUCAACUCCCCUCUGAGUGGGGAUGUCCACUCCUGAACUCUGUCUACCUUGUCAUCGCCAAGGAGACUGUUGAACUGUCUGCCUGUCCUAUUACAGCCAUCAAGGCUGCUACUAAGCUUGUGCUCUUCUUUGCAGUCCUGUCUGAGUUGCUGGUGGCUCCAUCGGCCUUGUCAGUUCUGCUGAGGUGGUCAUCAGGUCUGCCUUUGCUGACUGCCAAGCUCCUGGCUCUGACCUGGUUGCCCGCUGGGGUUGUUGUUCAGCUGUAGCCUCACUGGUCUGUCCCUCGAACCCCGGCCUGGCCUCCUGCCCUGCCGGCCCCGCCCUGGUCUCCUACCUUGCCAGCUCCACCCUGGCCCUAUGGCCUACUGUACCUCUGUUUCUAGACCUCUUUCACUACAUGCACCUGGCCCGCCAUCCCUCCCCCUGGUCUGCCUCCCUCCUGGAUUUCAUUGACUUUGUGGAGCAUCUUGAAUCCGCUCCUUAGAGGAGAGGUAAUGUCACAGUGUCUAGUUGGUGUGCCCAUGUAUAGCUACCAGAGGGCACACUUCUUAGUUUUGUUUGUUUCUCUGGACUUCAGUUCCCAUCACCCUUUGCUUUAACCAUCAAGUCUCAUUACAUUCAGCUGUCUCAAUUACCUUGUUAACUAAUCCACAUAUUAGCCCGGUUUUCUUUGUCUUUGGUUGCUCGUUUAUUGUUUUCUGUUAUGUGUCUGUUACUGUUUUUCCCUGAUUUGGAUUACAUUGUUUGUUUUUGGACUCUUUAAUAAAUGCUGCACUUGGAUCUUGUUUUUAAGCAUUCCGUGACAGUUUGAUUGUUUGUUUUUAUUUACAUUUUAGUUGCUAAAGUCAUACAAUGAAAAAUUAAAAACCGUGUGUCUUUACUGCCUUUCACCUCAGGCACUCAAACACUCAAAACAGCAACCACCAAAAUAGCAAACAUUGAAUUUAGUUAAAUGGAAAUUUUUUUAGUGUAUUGUAUGCUGCUCAUUCUGCUUAUGGCAAAACAUUGCAGCACUCACACUGCACAGGAACUCAUGCUAGGUUUACCCGUAAACAAAAGGCCAUUGACACUGAGAUGAGUCUUGUUUGCAUCACAAGAACAACGAAGAAAAAACACAGCUUCUUUUAAUAAUGCAGAAGACUGCUGAGAAUAUCAUCUUAUUAUGAACCCUUUUUUCAUUCUUCAAAGUAUUGUACACUGACUGUUUUGGCAAUCCAACAUACUUGAGGAGAGAGAUAUGAAGUGCCAUCAUUUUCUACCAAUAUCUGAGAACUCAGCUGAUGAUUCAGAUAUAAUGUGAAACUUGCUAAUGAGUGAAAUACUGCAGGUGUAGUACAAUCUUCUUCACAUCUAAGAAAUGAAGAAAAAAAAAUUAUACUAGCAGUGUUGUCAGUGUCUGUUGGUAGUGGGUGGAGAAGUACAAAAUCUAAAAGGACAUCUGUUGUGGCACAUGUUUGCAGCUGACCUGAUUGUUAACCUUUUGUCAGAGACUAUCUGAUUGUCCCUCGCCAUUUUGUUGAUCAGGUGCUUCAACAAACCCAAG